CCUACGUGCGGCAGCAGUAGGGAAUAUUGCUCAAUGGGGGAAACCCUGAACCAGCCAUGCCGCGUGCAGGAAGACGGCUCUAUGAGUUGUAAACUGCUUUUGUACGAGGGUAAACGCAGAUACGCGUAUCUGUCUGAAAGUAUCGUACGAAUAAGGAUCGGCUAACUCCGUGCCAGCAGCCGCGGUAAUACGGAGGAUUCAAGCGUUAUCCGGAUUUAUUGGGUUUAAAGGGUGCGUAGGCGGUCGGAUAAGUUAGAGGUGAAAUCCCGAGGCUCAACUUCGGAAUUGCCUCUGAUACUGUUCGGCUAGAGAGUAGUUGCGGUAGGCGGAAUGUAUGGUGUAGCGGUGAAAUGCUUAGAGAUCAUACAGAACACCGAUUGCGAAGGCAGCCUGCCGGGGUGCGACUGACGCUGAGGCUCGAAGGUGCGGGUAUCAAACAGGAUUAGAUACCCCAGUAGUC
Molecule: ribosomal RNA, 460 nt
Filed under: uncultured bacterium
Lineage: Bacteria
Description: partial 16S ribosomal RNA
Rfam family: Bacterial small subunit ribosomal RNA
Source: RNAcentral